AAGGCAGUGGCACAGACAGGGAGCUGAAGGUGGCUGAUUCCCCUGCCUGCCACUGCCACCU
This 61-nucleotide microRNA precursor is filed under the name Ornithorhynchus anatinus (platypus). RNAcentral's name for it is "Oan-Mir-1360_pre stem-loop". Lineage: Eukaryota; Metazoa; Chordata; Mammalia; Monotremata; Ornithorhynchidae. The record is from RNAcentral.